GCGUCAAGCUUCGCAAGUUUCGACUCGUUCACUCUGGCGACGAGGAUGGCGAGCGUUUGCCGGAAUGGAGGUUACGGCGAGUGCUUCUCCAUUAAAAGGGAUUUAUCUUUGGGAUUGUGGAAUGUUGUUAAAUGUGUUUAUUUUUGUCGCACUUCUCAUGGGGCUGCAGCUGCAAAUUCUUCCGCACAAUGGCAGACCUUGAGUGGUAAUGCUCCCUGAGUUAUAGCACGUGGCAGCUUCUGUGGAGUUUUCCCAGAAUCCAGCCAGUAUGCUUACCAAUUUGCACUGGCAAAUAGUGUGGAAAAUGUAUUUUAUAUUGUGACCUUCAAUUAACAAAAUAUGGAGCUGGAAUCUGCCAGUCAGAUUAUAGACUGGAUAAUUCAACAACUAUUUCAUCUGUCUUCCCGGAAGGGCAAAAACUUAUCCUGUCAAUGGAAAACAGCUUCAAGGAUGGUUUUCUGUUGAUUUCACUUCAGAUCAAUUAGAUAACAAUGUCUCAUUGUCUUUUCUCGACCAAGCAUAUUUGAUGCAAGUCUGCCAAUAUGUAUGGUGGAAGAUGUUGCUGGGCUUCACCCAUCUCAAUAUUGGAUAAAUGUUCACGUAAGAGCUUCAAAAUUUUAGUUAUUUUAUCUUGAUGUUCUUUGGAGAAAAGUCUUUAAUCUUCAUGUUUCUACAACUAUCUUUUCUUCGGUGAAAUACUUGAGCUUAAAAGUAUGGUAACAUGAAUCUUUAGAAACUAAUAUUAAGGAGUUAUCACUAAGAUGUCCCAUCUAUUUCUAUGAACUUGAUAUUCCACAGCUAUCUGGAAAUUCAAUAUCUGAGAUACUGAUUAACUUUAUAAUGUCUUUCAACUUGUAGUCCAAUACAUUUUUCAAGGAUCACAA
Molecule: long non-coding RNA, 884 nt
Organism: Zingiber officinale
Lineage: Eukaryota; Viridiplantae; Streptophyta; Magnoliopsida; Zingiberales; Zingiberaceae
Exons: 4
Source: RefSeq, a predicted model, not a curated record